Long non-coding RNA from Wasmannia auropunctata (little fire ant), 496 nucleotides. RefSeq lists it as uncharacterized. NCBI's taxonomy places the organism in Eukaryota, Metazoa, Arthropoda, Insecta, Hymenoptera, Formicidae. The transcript has 2 exons. The record is from RefSeq and is a predicted model, not a curated record.
CCUAAACCGUCAUCCUUAUUCAUAUAUACCGUUUAGUGCUGGGCCACGCAAUUGUAUCGGUCAACGAUACGCUAUGUUGGAAAUGAAGGCGAUGAUAGCACCUCUAAUUCAUAAUUUCUACGUGGAGCCCGUUGAUUACUUAAAGAAUCUUCGAAUGCAAACUGAUAUGAUACUUCGUCCAACUCAUCCACUUCGUGUAAGAUUUGUCCCCGUUUGCAAAACGCAAACAUUUGAAACAAAUACUGAAAUACAAUAAAUGUUGUAAAAGCAAACAUCGCAAAAAUAAAAUAUAUAUUGUAUUAUAUACAAUCAAAUAUAAGAAUACGUAUUAUAUACAAUCUAUAACAAAUAUAAAAUUCAUUUCAAUCAUUAAAAUGCAUGCAACUACUUAAAAUGAAUACUAAAGAAGUAUAAAACGAUAAAUUGUAAAAAUUAUGGAUAAAAUUGUUAUGUGUAUAUUAUUUUGUGUAUUAAAUAUCGUACGAUAUACAGCAUA